AGGGUGCUCGCCUCCACUGCCAACUGAUGAUACACUAAAGAAAGCCCGUUUUUUAUCCAGAUGUAAAAUGAAGCUGCACCCCUCCUAUACCUGCCGGAAACUACAUCUCUCUGCACACACCCUGGGGUAAUACGCACUGCACCCGGCGAGUUACCUGGAAUACGUUUACUAAAUCGACAGGAAGAAGGAAAGAUCAAUGCGAUUCAAGUGCUGACGGUUGUACUCGUGAAGGAAAAAAACAAAUGCAAGCCGGGAAGUCCCCAGUGGUGCCUGCACCUAGGAGGCGACUGCAACGGAUGGAUGCGGGGGUAGAUAAUCAGCAACCCCCCAAGACUGUGCCUGCUGCACAACUACAGAACACAGUGGAAGACACGCUGAAUUUUGAGUCAGAAGGUUGACUUUCUAGCUAUGGGGACUUGGCCAAACCUCCUCAGAGCUUCAGUUUUCUCAUCUGUAAAAUAGAGAUCUUAAUCCCUACCAAUCUCACAGGACUGCUGAGAGUAUCAGAUGAGGAUUACUGGGAAGAGAGGUCUGCAGCAUUCCUCAGUAACCUGUCUCAGUGCCUCUAAUAUCUGCAGCAAGAACAUUCUUCUUCGUGUUUCAUCUGAGCCCUCCCUACUUUUGUUUUAUCAUUCAUAGGUGAGAUAAGGCUCCAUUUAUGCUUAUAAUUUCAGUGAAAGCAGGAGGCUGCAGAAACCACUGCAGUAAGAACUUUAAAUAUUCUAGUGCAUCUUCUGUUUGUCUGAGAGUUGUCAGGUUCCUCUAGCAGUGCAGUCUGGAGCCAUAUGAGGGGAGAUUAAUGAGGGGACAUGGGGGGUCAAGAAGCAAAUAUUCAUUAAAGAGAUCAGGAAAUGGGUUUGUCCUCAUUAAGGCAUAAUCGCAGCAGACCAUAGAGCAUAGUGGAAAAUGAAGCUGUGGUUUAGCCAAGGAAAAUGCAAGGAACAAAUCUGAUAGACAUGGGAAACAGGAGCAGGAAACCGUAGCACUGUUAGGCUGAAGUUGUGUAACAGUCUUCUCCCCGUGGUCAUUUUGACUAAAUCAACUAAAACCAUGUCUAAUAUAUUUAGCACCUAUGAGGAACUCAUUUCUCCUCCCUCUCCUCUUCUUCUUGUGUGCAUGUGACUGGCUUACUGGACAACCUUUAUUUCAAAAGCAGUGUUGUGAGAAACCAGAAUAUGGCUCUUGCUCAAGAGCCUCUCCUCAAUCCUGAGUUGUAGCCCAAGACAUCACAAAUCACUGAGCUGGGGUGUGGGAGGUCCUCAAGCUCUUGUCCUAAAGCUGGUAGAGGGCAGAGCUCAGAUAUGAACACAGGCAGUUGAGCUCCAGAGCCCGUGCCCUUAAUCACUUCAUUGCUCCUCAGUUGAUGUGUGAUCGUGAUAUCCCUAAUCCCCUGACAAAAGAGAAGUACCCUUGGAGAUCUAGCCAGUGGUUUACAACCAUUUUAAAAUUUCAAGCAGCAGAACUAGAUUUAUUACAAUUAAAACCUGACAUGGAACCUCAAUGUAUGAAACAGACAAAAGCAGAUGUAUGGUACUGAGGCUGCAGGGGGCCCAGGGUUUCCAAAGCCCUGCUUGCUUAACUCUGCCAAUCCCUAGGGUUCUGCAGAACACACAGUGAGAACUACAUCACUCUGUUAGCAACCAAGUAAACUGAAAAUUGACAUGUAAUAGUAAAGUGACAUGUUUUUUCUUUUUAUCUCUUUGCAUUUCUUUCAACCAGAUAAGAGAAAUGAGACUCAGGACAAGUAGACAGAGCAAAGGCAAAGGGACAGAGCAAAGGGAAAGAGCCAGUGCACAGGGCGUUAUCAGAGAGCAGAGCUGAGCAAGGCACUGCAGUGGGGCGUCAUGGUCAAGGUGAGCCAUAUGAGAUCACCCACAAGUACAGGAAAAAGGGACGGGCCAUUUGUGCCUAACACCAGCCCCAAGAACUUUUGAAGGAAAGGUAAAGACAGGAAACUGUGAACUGGGCCAACAUGUGAACAGCUUUCUGCCCUCUAGCAUCCCUUCUUUUUGUCUAUGCAACAAUCACAUGUACUUUGCACAAGCCCAGAAAUGGGAACCCGGUUUUCUGUCCUUUGCUUAUGUUUGUAACCUUUCCAAGCCUACCUCAGGAAGGAUGUCUAUUGAGCAGAUGGGUUUGUGAAAUUUCCAACAGGAGGAAGCCGUUUGCUACAACAACAGCUCGGAGGGUUCUUCUGCACUCCGCACUUCAGCAGUUGUGCCAGCUGGGUAAGGAAGAACACAAAGGGAACCAAAGCUGUGGGCUGGUGCAUUUGAGUCAGAGGCCUCUUUAAAUGUAAUUGAUGGAGAGAGAGAUUGAGAGAGGAUUAUAAUAGUCAGGCUGCCCAACUACUUAGGUAACCACACUUAGCGAGGAUUCCCCAGAUCCAGGAGCUGGAUUUUAAUUUGCCACGCUCAGAAAUUCCAUUUUACCAAAGCACAUGCCCUGAUUUGGGCCAUUAUCAGUUUCCUGGAUAUUGUCCAUUUUCCUUUAAGCCAGUCUUCAUCCUUUCUUGCCCUGCCCUGUGCUUCAGGAGACUGGCACUUGGCUUCCAGUUGGCUUUGGCCAAUUGGAGGCACUGUGAGGAGAUCAUAGUGUGGCAAAGAAAGGAGGGCAGGGUAGUUAUUCCCCUACUUUCCUGCCUUCCAGGUAGUUAUGGGUUAGCUAUGUCCCUUUACUGAAGGCCUGCCGCUGUGGGGCCGUUUUCUUCCAUCCAGCUGUCCUCUCUGGGUGUCAGUAACUGCCCCUUCCUCUGGUCCCUUCAGGCUCGGGUUGGUAAGAGUUUCCCCCACUCUUAGCCCAGAAUACUGCAUUAUCUCAUGUAAGUUUUGCACACUUAAUAAAUCAUAGCUUUUUAAAAUUCAUGUUAAAAUAUCCAAUUGCAUAUGCCAUCUCAGAACACUUCUGCUAUUCAGUCAACAUCUGUCAAACUGACAGUAUGGAAACGAAGAUCAGAAUAACUGCCCCCCAAGACUGUGAUUUUAUCCUAUAACUUUAUUAGUUUAGAUUAUUGCAAAUAUUUUUUGUUUGUUUGUUUUGUUUUUUAAUUUUUUUUUUUUUUUUGAGUCGGAGUCUCACUCUGUCGUCCAGGCUGGAGUGCAGUGGUGCAAUCUUAGCUCACUGCAACUUCCACCUCCUUGGUUCAAGCAAUUCUCCCACCUCAGCUUCUCAAGUAGCUGGGACUACAGGCACACACCACCAUGCUGGCUGAUUUCUGUAUUCUUAGUAGAGACGGGAUUUUAUCAUGUUGGCCAGGCUGGUCUCAAACUCCUGAGGUCAAGUGAUCUGCUCGCCUCGGCCUCCCAAAGGACUGGGAUUACACAUGUGAGCCACCACACCUGGCCACAAAGAGAACUUUCCAAAGCUCUUAAAUUUGACCUAUGUACUAUGCUGCCAAUUUGAACAAGCUCCCUGCAGAUGAACGGUAGUGCCUGGGUAAUAACCUUGUUAAAUAUGUAUAGGUGUUAGAUAAGCUUACUUUUUCACUCAAUUGUGUAAGAACGUAAAACUAAAACUGUAUAAAAACAGUAAAUUAUUAAAAGUGACUAAAUAUUAAUAGGCUAUAGUACAGUAAUUCAGUGCACAGGCUUUAAGAUGAGACAGAUAGGGAUUCACAUCCAUUAACCGUGGCCUUUGGAAAGCUACUUCACCUCUCCAGUCUUGGGUUUCUCAUCCAUAAAAUCAUCAUGAUAAUUGAGUGCCCACUUCUUAACAGGUGUUGUGAAGAUUAAAUGAGAUUCAUAAAGUAUGAGUACUGUGGGCAUUUGAAAAAUACUAGCUAUUGUUGUUGCUAUUAAUUUUAAUUUGCAAUUCUGUAAUGACAUGAUAUUGAGCAUCUUUUCACAUUCUUAUUUGUGCACUGUAUAUCUUCUUUGGUGAGGCAUCUGCUCAGAUCUUUUGUCCAUUUUGUAUUUGGGUUGUUCAUUUUCUUAUUGUUGCAUUUUAAAUGUUCUUUUUAUUUUUAUAUGGCAGUUCUUUAUCAGAUAUGUCAUUUAUAAAAAUUUGC
Gorilla gorilla gorilla (western lowland gorilla) is the source of this 4006-nucleotide long non-coding RNA. RefSeq lists it as uncharacterized. The record is from RefSeq and is a predicted model, not a curated record. Lineage: Eukaryota; Metazoa; Chordata; Mammalia; Primates; Hominidae. The transcript is spliced from 3 exons.